UCUCACAACAGUGGCCAACAGUGGCCAAUGAGCCUCGGCUGUUCAUAGACGUGUUUACGUUUUCUUUCUUCCCUUUGCAAGAAAAAUCUCCACCCUAAAGUGUAUUGUGUGUGUGUUUGUGAGUGUUGAUGGGAAAAACUCUCUAGAGUUUUCACAUUUGCUUAUUUAUUUCUUUGUUUUUUUUUUAAUUGUUCAAUACUUAACGCCAAGUAUCAUCUCAAUAAAGACUUGCAAACCAAAAAUAACGCAACUAUUGUCAGUAGGCUGCAUUGUAAUAAAAGCUACAAACUAAGUAUACAUUUGUUGUAAGAGUGGAAAGUGACAGUGUUAAAAAGAAAAGUGGAAAACGUACAGUAUAACGGUGGACUAUUUAGAUUUUCGUGUUCCUUAUCAAUCUCUGAGUGCAGCCACUACGGGCUUGAUUUCAAGUAAAAAAUAUAAAAGAGACGAGGACAGUGGCCUCGCGUCCUCCAUCGUCAUCCCCCGCUCCCUCUCCCAUCUUUGAUCGCUUCCUCUUUAUUCCUUGUCUCUCCUCGUUGUCGUCAAAUCAACUUCAUAAAUAUUACCUUCAUUUUCAAAUCUUCCUUACUACGAUUGAGUUCAUUAGCCAACUGAUGCACCGACUGAUCAAGAUAACGACAAAAAAGUGAGAAUACAAAUAUGAGUGAGAAUUACAGUUGGAAUAGUUGACCUAACCUAGAGUGUAAAAGAAAAACUCCUAGAUAAAUUUGGAAUAUUUCUCUUAUCAUCAACAUAUCUUUGGCUAUGUCCUUCAUGACGGCUGAUUUACUUGGGAAAAAGUGCUUCAAAAAUAUGACAAUUUGAAAAUCAUCAUUGAAUCAAUUUGUUACUCUGGCUCAAAGGGAAGAAGAACAAAGAAAGUGGCGAUUUUUCGUCGAUCAAGGAGAAAACUACGACACUAAGGAGUCGUAAAACUUGAAAGGGAAGUGUCUAGCAGCCUAGGAAUCUCCUAGGAGGACUUGAUGGCAGUGGUGGGGCCAAGCCGGCACUCGCGGGUGUCCAUGAGCGUGUCGAUGUCACUGAUGCAGGGGGGUGGAGCCGGUACGACCACCGGCGGAGGUUCAACAGCGGGGACUCAUCCGGGUCAGGCUGUUCUCGCUGCUCAAGCACCCUCCAACUAUUAUCAUCCUGCAGCCCCUGCACCAUCCCAACCUCCCCCUACUCAGGAUCCUGUCCAACCCGAUAGGCCUAUUGGUUAUGGAGCUUUUGGUGUUGUUUGGGCAGUAACUGAUCCAAGAGAUGGUAGACGAGUGGCUUUAAAAAAAUUACCAAAUGUCUUUCAAAAUCUUAUUAGCAGCAAAAGGGUCUUCAGAGAACUUAAAAUGCUAUGUUUUUUCAAACAUGAAAAUGUAUUGUCAGCACUGGAUAUUUUACAACCACCACAUCUAGAUUUCUUCCAGGAGAUAUAUGUGAUAACAGAACUACUCCAAAGUGAUCUUCAUAAGAUUAUCGUCAGCCCGCAACAUUUGAGCUCAGAUCACAUCAAAGUAUUCCUCUAUCAGAUUUUAAGAGGACUUAAGUACUUACAUUCAGCAAGAAUCUUACACAGAGACAUUAAGCCGGGUAAUCUACUGGUAAACAGUAACUGUGUGCUAAAAAUAUGCGACUUUGGUUUGGCAAGAGUUGAGGAACCCGACCAAAGCAAACACAUGACCCAGGAGGUGGUGACGCAGUAUUACCGAGCUCCAGAAAUUCUCAUGGGUGCUCGUCAUUACACAGCUGCAGUUGAUGUCUGGAGUGUUGGGUGCAUUUUUGGAGAACUUCUGCGUCGUAGAAUUCUUUUCCAAGCUCAAAGUCCCGUUCAACAACUUGAAUUAAUUACUGAAUUACUGGGAACGCCAACCUUAGAAGAUAUGCGAUAUGCGUGUGAGGGUGCAAGGACUCACAUGCUAAGUCGUGCUCCAAAACCCUCAUCUUUGACAGCUCUAUACACUUUAAGUAAUCAAGCAACUCACGAAGCUGUUCAUUUACUAUGUCAGAUGCUUGUUUUCGAUCCUGACAAGAGAAUUACUGUUGUUGAUGCCCUGGCUCAUCCUUAUCUUGACGAAGGAAGAUUGAGAUAUCAUUCGUGCAUGUGCACGUGCUGUUAUACCACAAGUGGAGGGAUGAGACAAUAUACUUCAGAAUUUGAACCAGUAACGUCUCAUCCUUUGGACGAUUUAUGGGAACGAAAACUGACAAGUGUUCAGCAGGUGAAAGAAGAAAUGCAUAAAUUUAUAGCAGAGCAAUUAAAUACAUCUCGCGUGCCUUUGUGCAUUAAUCCUCAAUCUGCGGCGUUUAAAAGCUUUGCAAGUUAGAGCAAGACAACCGCCAAGCCAGCAACUACGUGCGCCGCGUAUACGUACACAAUAACUACCACCCGAAUGAGCUAUCUACCGCUGUCGGCUACCGCUAUCGUCUACUACCACUUACGUCUCUUCCUGAACGUAACGAAUAAUUCGAGAAAAUCAGCUAUAAUUGGUACAACCUCGCUCGCAGAGAAUCAUUUAAAGUGAUCUUAUUGCUAACAAUGAUGAAUAAAAUUUGGGCAGUUUAAAAUAUGGAAUAAAAGUUCUACUGUGGCUCAUCCAUCGGAGUUACCACCAUCACCACAUCAAUGGGAGUGAAGUAAUGUCAUUUACAAUAAAGUCUCAUAAAUUAUUAUAAAUUAUUUAUUGAUAAAUCAACGAGAAACAACACAAAAUGUGUAAAUGACUUGAAGAACAUCUAAGAGUAUAAACAAGAAGACAAAAGCUGCAAUAAAUUUUCUGAAUACCUUCAUUGUUGAUAAAUGAAGAGAGCUAAGAGAGACAAUAGACUGCCGAGUACUUGUAGCUUGAUUUGACGAAACAAUUAGUUCAUAUACAAUACAAAAUUGAUAAAUUUGUAAAAUAGAAAAAUAAAGAUAUUCAAGACACAAGUAUACAAGACUGUAAGAGGAAGGUAGCUAAAUUUUUAACCGGCAAUCGGUUAAAUAGUAGAUAAUUUUCAGCACUUGUCGCUGUUAUUGCAGACGAGGAAGGCCAGUUUCUAACGAUUAAUCUUUUUUUUUGUCAUUAUUUUCAUUCAUUCCUCGUUUAUUAGCAAUUGCGACUAAUAAUAAUUAUUAAUAUUUUUUUUUUAUUAUUAUCGUAAUUAUUAAUCUUAUCAUUAUAAUUAUUAAUAAUCAAUAUUAAUUAAUAAUCAAUGCGUGCGCGCGUUAUGAUUACGGCUGGCAAUAAAAUACGAAAUCAUAAAAAAGGGAGGAGAAACAACAUUUUUUUAAAGAACAUUUAUAAAUAUUCAUUUAUUUGUUUAAAUAAUUUACGUAGUUGUGUCAAAAUGAUUUUCUUUUGUUAAGUAGACAUUUAAAAUGGAUUUCACUUAUUGAAAUUAAACGUAUUUAUUAUCGAAUAUGCUUCCAAAAUCUUAAAAAUCUAGGAACGUGCAAUUCCUAAAGCAAUUGAAACAUAAUAAUUUAAAGUAAAGAAAAUGCAAAAUGUUUGGGUACGGAAUCUUGUAAGUAUAUGAAAAGAUCUUAAUGUAUUGUAAAUAUUGAGUAUCAGAAUAAUAUUCUCUCCAUAUUGUGAGCGGAAACAAGAUACUCUGCAUUAUUAAUUCUGAGUGUGAUUUUAGUAAUAAGUAAAACUCAAUUGAUUGACACUAAGUAUCAUGAGAUUCUUGGGCCUAAAUUUUCAUGUAGAUAAUGAUUGCACUGAUUAACUAAUUUUUUAAUCAACAAAAAUGUGAAGAAAAAAAAGCAAAGAAAUAAUUCUGUAUAGAGAAUUUUUUACACAUACCUAAAGACAAAAAAAGGGAGAAAAACCACAUAGAGAUACUUGAAUUCUUAGUUUUUAGUAUAUUCUCUAUGUUUUUUCAUACUACUACAACAAAGGUCCGAAUAAAUUAGUGAUUUCAAUGAAUGGGAAGAAAGAAAUUUUUAAUGUUUUAGUAUUUGAUGAUGCUCUCUUCAGAGGGUUAACUUACGGCUAACGAUCAACUGAAAAACUCUUUUGGUGUUUGCCAACGAGAAAAAAAUCAAGCUGUUUGGCUGUCUCUGAGAUUGAUAAUAAAUAAAAAAUAAUAAGAUAUUAAUAAAAAGCUUAUUAUUUAUUAUUUGAAAAAUAAAGUAAAGAGACAUGUAGUGAUAAGCUGACAGAUUUUUGUAAUAAAAUUUUUUUUCUCGUUUGAAAAUAUGUUUAAUAAAUAAAAUGGCAAACAUUUAGGUAUUUCAAUGCGUUAUUUAAUAUAAGGUAGAUAAAUAGAAAGUAAUGUUGAGGAUUGAUUGAAUAAUUCCUGAAAUACAUGUAACAAAUAAAAAAUAAAUAUCGUAUGUACGAUUGUAAAUAUUUCUUAUACAGCCAGUAUAAAAAAUGACAAGGAGGAAAAGCAUUAUUGAUUAGGCGUCUGUAAUAUGACGUAUCGUCCUGCCAAUUAGCCAGCGAAUGCUGCCGUUUGAUUAUAAAAUAUACAAUGAUAAAUUGUCACAUUCGUGAGACGAUACUCAAGAUAAGUGACAUUGCUUCAUAGAUAUGACUGUGAAAAUUUUUACUAAGAGUAAAUGAUACAUUGAAAAAAUAAUAUGAAUGAAAAUUUCGAAAUGAAAAAAAAAUAUUGUAUUUGUAUAUACUAAUUCAAGAUAGCUCACUGUAGCUAAUUAGUUGGGCAUUUGAUUGACGUGUAAUGUUGUCCAAUAAUUAAUCGAUCACAGUUAAUUAAUUAACGAAUCAAUUAAUUCAUUGUAUAUUACGAAAUUGAAAUCGAAUUUUAGCAUUUUACAUUAGAUCUCAUUUCUUAAAUAAUUAAAAUGAAAUUAUAAGAAUAAUUACGUAUUUUGUCGUGAUCGAAUUUUGCAAAAUUAAUAACAUCAGUAUAGAAAAUAGAGAGAAAUAUGAAUACGUAAAAUUGAAAAAAAUGAUUGAUGUACAUUAAUAAGGUACAUCUAUUUUAGAUUAAUAAACAAAAAAUGAAAGGAUAAAAAAAUAAAUAUAAAUAAAUCGUGUAGUUGAAAAAGUAGCCUUGUUCAUAAAAAAAGAAAAAAAAUACCAGACGCACCAAACAAUAAAUAUUCUGAUAAAAUGGAAUGUUUCAAUGAAAUAUUUUGUUAUGUGAGUUAAAUUAUCAUUAUUAUUAUUAUUAUAUUCAUUUAAAUAUUCCCAUCAUCCUGAAAAUUCCUAAAAAUUUUUGUCACAUUGAUAUCUAUUCGCAAAAAUAUGCAUUUAGUUAAUUAAUGAAAACAUUUAUGAUCAAAAUAAUAAAAAUUAUUGUUCAUCGUCGAGUGGCAACGUAUUUAUAAUUAAAAUAAAAAAGAAAAUAAUGUCGCUUUCUUGAUAUUUAAAAUUUAGCAGUGAUUUAGCUUUAAUAUAAUAGAAUGAUGACCUGUAAUUAGUAACUAAGAGGCCUUAAUAUUAUGAUGUCUAACCGUUAUUGAAAAUAAUACAAAAGAAAAAAUAUAAAAAAAGGAAACAUUUCAGAGAUUGUCAAUGAUUUAAAGAAGUAUCUAGUGUAGAAGAGAAAGAAAUAAAAGUUUUAAUGAUUAAAAAAAAAGUAAAAAGAAGAAGAUGCAAAACAAUAA
Chelonus insularis is the source of this 5554-nucleotide RNA transcript. It is a transcript of the gene named serine/threonine-protein kinase nemo, with no coding region annotated. The transcript is spliced from 11 exons. Lineage: Eukaryota; Metazoa; Arthropoda; Insecta; Hymenoptera; Braconidae. The record is from RefSeq and is a predicted model, not a curated record.